Pelobates cultripes (western spadefoot toad) is the source of this 289-nucleotide non-coding RNA. The record is from the annotation of a GenBank genome assembly. Lineage: Eukaryota; Metazoa; Chordata; Amphibia; Anura; Pelobatidae.
UUACCCCUCCCUGGAUCUUUCCCUUCAUUAUAUAUUAGUUCCGGCCUACGGCUGUCUUCAGGGGGAGUGUCCGCGACGUCGAACAACUUUUGGUGACGUCGGCGGAAGUACUCCCCCCGUUUGACACUUGAUUGUUUUCCCCCCACUAGUUUCAUUACACACCAUGUGACUCCAAGAGGAGGACCUACAAGGACUUUCAAACAUUUAAAAAGAAGAAAGAUUCCUGAGGCUACUAUACAGCUACUGAGUGAAAUGCGUUUAGCUGAUUAUUCUGGACUUUUAAUUGGAC